This 254-nucleotide ribosomal RNA is filed under the name uncultured bacterium. RNAcentral's name for it is "partial 16S ribosomal RNA". It matches the Rfam family "Bacterial small subunit ribosomal RNA", at positions 524 to 776 of the family's 1533-position model. The record is from RNAcentral.
UACGGGGGGAGCAAGCGUUGUUCGGAUUUACUGGGCGUAAAGGGCGGGUAGGCGGCCACCGCAAGCAAGUGGUGAAAUCUCUGGGCUUAACCCAGAAAGGUCAACUGAUACUGCGGGGCUAGAGUGCAGAAGGGGCAACUGGAAUUCUCGGUGUAGCGGUGAAAUGCGUAGAUAUCGAGAGGAACACCUGCGGCGAAGGCGGGUUGCUGGGCUGACACUGACGCUGAACUGCGAAAGCUAGGGGAGCGAACGGG